UGCUCAUUUUUUAAUCAGGUUAUUUGUUUUCUUGCUCUUUAGUGCUUUAUAUAUUUGGGCAUUAACUCCUUAUCAGAAGUGUAGCUUAUAAAUAUUUUGUUCCAAUCGGUAGGCUGUCUAUUCACUCUAAUAAUGGUUUCCUUUUCUGUGCAGAAGCUUUUCAGCUUGACGUAAUCUCAUUUGCCUAUUUUUUCUUUUGUUGUCUGAGCUUUUGCAGUUAAAUCCAAAAAGUAGUCAAUGAUCAGACUAAUGUAAAUUUCCCCCUAUUUUUUUUUUCUAGUAGUUUUACAGUUCUAUUUCUUAUGUUUAAGUCUUUCAUCGAUUUCAAGUUGAGUUUUGUAUAUGGUAUGAGAUGAAGGUCCAAAUCUAUUUUUCUGGAGGUAAAUAUCCAGUUUUUUCAAUAUACUUUGUUGAAGAGACUGCCUUUUUUUCCAUUGCAUGUUUUUGGCAUCUUUGCUGUAAAUUAAUAGACAUAAAAGCAUGGGGUAAUAUUUGGGUUCUCUGUUCUCGUCUAUUCAUUGAUGUGUCUAUUUUAUGCUAGUACCAUGCUGUUCUAAUUGCUAUAGCUUGGUAAUAUAGUAUGAAAUCAGGUAGUAUGAUGUUUCCAGCUUUGUUCUUUUUGCUUAAGAUUCUCUUUUUUUGGUGAUU
Sapajus apella (tufted capuchin) is the source of this 648-nucleotide long non-coding RNA. RefSeq lists it as uncharacterized. NCBI's taxonomy places the organism in Eukaryota, Metazoa, Chordata, Mammalia, Primates, Cebidae. The transcript has 3 exons. The record is from RefSeq and is a predicted model, not a curated record.